RNAcentral lists this long non-coding RNA (6960 nucleotides) under Selaginella moellendorffii. Its description in RNAcentral is "long non-coding RNA (SMOE_LNC001941)". Lineage: Eukaryota; Viridiplantae; Streptophyta; Lycopodiopsida; Selaginellales; Selaginellaceae. The record is from RNAcentral.
CUGAAAGCUAUCAGAUUGAGCUGCUCUGGUGAUCGGGAAUUAUUCCUUUUCACUGGAGCUGAAGACUUUAAAAAAGUUGAAAGCUGCUGCAGCUCUGGAGCUGAAGGCUUGGGAGUGGAAGGCUGCUGCUCGACUUCCGGAUGUGGGGAAAAAACCGACCACAACUCACUGGUAUAUGGGGUUCUAGUGCUUGAAGGUGGAGAAGUUGGAGAAGCGAGAGCAGAGCCGGAAGAAGGAACUUGAAUGGUUACCUCGGUACUCUUGGGGGCACCGGCAGACUGUGCCCCUUGAAACUUUCUGCUGUUCCACGAAUCCAUGUUUAGUGUUCAAGGAGUUCUGGGCAUUCUGGGCAUUCUGGUGACCGUGGUAUUGACGACUUCAAAGCCGCUUGAAUGUCUUUCUCAUGUUGCUGGCAUAAGCAAGUAAGCUACUACUUUCGUUCUAUGAUAGCACGAGCCUUCCGAGCACUUCAAGCUACUCAUCACGAGCAAAUCUAUGAUAGCACGAGCCUUCUGAGCACUUCAAGCGACUCGUCACGAGCGAAUCAAUAAAAAACGAGUGCUUUGUUUGACAGUGCUGCAAGUUGCGACAAAGACACUGCAAACAUCAAGCUUGAGCGGAGUAUAUAAGGGAAUAGGGACGUUGUAACUAGCUACGACGCAAACAUGGCUUGUCUAGAGGGAAUCUAGCAACCACGACAAAAAAUCAUAGAGAAUGUAGAGACAAGGAGUGGAAUGAGAUUUGGGCGGAUCAAACCUGCGGCCAUUGGAAGCGUUCUCCAAGACCCUUCGCCGUGCUCGUUGACAUACUGCGUGAGGAGCGUGUCUUCUUCACGAGUCCAUGGACCCCUGUUGAGACCGAUUUUCUCGCAGCAAGGAGAUCGACCCAUCUGCAUGGCACCACCAACAAGAAUAAAGAAGAACAGAAACUAUAAAAUGCCUGUGGAAACUUUGGGAAGAACACAGGAUGAAGUUCGACUGGGACGAGAAGAAUACGCUGGGUGUUAUAUACGAGAUGUUUGUUUUAAAUCAAUGUUUUCCGCUCUGCUGGUCUCUUGCAAAUGUUCCUAGCUAUGAGAUAGAUGCUUCAGACACACAACGGACCAGGACAAGGAAAAAAUAUUCAUGAGAAAAGAACAAAGCUUGAAUCUUUUGACCCCUCAACGAAAGGAAGCUAGGGACUCGUAUAGAAAUCUAAAAAACCUGUGCCCUGCUUGUCCCGCCGUGCAAACAUCACUCCCUUUCUCGCUCGUUAAAUCGCGGUAGGAUCUAGAACAUGACCACUAUACUGUUGAUGACUAUCGCUACAGUAGGAUGGACUUUGUGGUAUAGCUUGGGCUGGUGCUCCACAGAAGCAGCACGAACUACACAGGAGGAAGAAAGAAAAAGUAGAGAAGAAAACGAAGAAGAAUCAAUGAAGAAAGGAGCUAAUUACUGCUGUCCGUGAAGAUGAGUGGAGAGAGCAACUUCAAAGAGCUAAAACUUUCACACGACAAACGGUCAGACGGGAAACUGGAGCGAUCUGGCACUAGUGCUGCCAUUCCAGAUCGAUCAAUAUUGUUUGACAACAAUGAUCUGACACACACAAGACUGUUUUCUUCGUCUCGGUAGCGCCCUUUCUACUGUUGCACAACAAACUAUUGCACAGCCGUGGAAGGGAAUAAUAGUAUAUAGAAACCUGUUGUAUCUCGUACUCUUGCUCUAUAAAUUCUCCAUAAACUUAAAGCUUCUUCUUCCAGGCCUAGAGAAAAGUCGGCUUCAAACACACAGCAUGGCCAUCUUUUAGUGUGUACUGUGCAGAACUCUCCCUUUCAACCAGGUCAUAUAAUUUGCCACUUACUAGGCUUAGGUGGUGGGAAAGAAAAAACUGGAGUAUUCCUUCUCACGUAGUGAUGUUUCUAUCUUAUACUUAAGAACCUUGUGUUGGCUCGAGGAGUAGUACUACGAAGUGGUGUAACGAAUGCAAAACUUGGACAGGGCAGACUGCUACUGAACACUAUUGCCACUGCCACAAGCCUCAAAUUUGCAGGGCAAACUUUCUUUUCCUUCUUGUGAAUAUUAGAAUUGACUUUCAUUGUGCAAGAUAAAAAUUAAUUUAUACCUCCCAAUAUAUAGAUAUUUAUAUGCAAAAAACUUUUUAAUACAACUAAUUCAAUCACACAAAAUCUUUGUUUCCUUUUUUUGAUGACAUGCAUCAUAAACAUGCCCCUAAUUGAUCUUGUUGUAGUCAUUAUCACCAUUUAAAUAGAUAAACAUUGAAUCAUCUAAAGUUUCAAUCUUUAAAGAGCAUUUUGAAGUAGUUUUUAACUGAUUUUGAUAAAAAAAUCCACCUUUAGCACAAGUAGUGCUCACAAGUAUCAAAGAGAUAAUUUUCCAUAGUUCCAUCAAAUUAGAACAUAUAUUUAUCAUGGAAAUAUCAUCUUUGCAUAUUUCCCAAGCCACUAGCUCAUUUUUUGUUAACAGAUUACUUUGCAUAAUAGUUACAAACUUUGUGAAUUCUCCUUUACAUUUUUCCCCAUCAACAAAAGCACCAUACUAGUUCAGUAAAAUAUUUAGCAAUUUGUAAAAGUUGUUAUCCAAUUUUUCCUUAUCAUUUGAGUAAUUUUUUGGGCUGAACAAUUUUGUAGCAUUGAAUAUGCCUAUAUCCUUUCCCAUUCUGGCCAGCAUAUUAAUGUGUAAUUUCUGAAUACAUUCCUUGUUUAAAUCUAAGCAAAAGCUCAAGCUCUCAUCUUUUUUGCUCUCUAGAAUAAGAGUAUAAUCUAAGGCAUGUUUUUGUUAUUCCCCUUUAGCAUUUAUAAAUUUGAUAAAUUCAUUUUUAGUAGCCUCCACAAAAUUACUCAAGUGUUUCACACUAAAAGUCUCUUUCAGAAAUUUUCUUUAGAUACUUUUCAAAGUACCAUCUAAAUACCUAGCAAUGUUAGCAAUAUUCAUAAUUUCAACUUUAAAAGAUUUUGUUCAAACUAUUCAAUUCCAGAAGUAUAUUAGGCAGCAUAUGAAUAGAUGAUCAAUCUCUUUAAGACUUCCUCAUAAAAUAACAAACAUACAUUGUGAAUUUGAAGCAUACCUAAUGUAAAUAUAUUUAUAGCAUCUUCUAGAGGCUUAAAAGCUAUGACUCUUUUUCUAAAAGUAUGCAACCAUUUAUAAAUUUGAUUGCAUAGCUUUUGAACAAUCAUAAAUUUAAGAAAUGCAUGCACAACUUCAAUAGCCACUAAACUUUAUCUAUGCGCUAAACAAUGCAUUCCAAACAAGUGUGGAAUGUUAUGUUUCAAUCUUGUCACUAGACCAAAUUAUUUUCCAACCAUAAUAAAAGCUCCAUCAGUUUCAAUAACAACACAUUUUCCCUUUUUAAAGUUCAUUUCUUCCAAAACCUUUUUGAUAGCUUCAUAUUUAUUUACAACCUUUAGUUACCAUCAAUUUGAAAAAGCAAGUUUUAUUCAGACUUUUUUCUUUUUCUUGCAUAUGGAAAGAGAUGUAUAUGAUAAGAUGAGCUUCCAAACUUCUAUCAGUAUUGUUAUCCAUCAUAAUAGAAAAGUAAGGACUAGUUUAAAUAUUUUGGCAAACAUCUUUCCAUCACACAUCUUUUUUGCAUUUUACAAACUCUUUCCCACUCAUAGCAUUCAUAUAAGUUUUAUAUUAUAUGGUGAUUGGCAUAUAGGGCAUUUCUAUAAAUCUAUUAAAUUCACACAAAGAUUUAUAGCUUUGUAAAGGUAAUCCCUUAUUCACAAUGAAGUACAUGAGGAAAUCAAUUUAUUUUUGUGUUGAUCUUUUUGAGCAGUAAUAUAUUUAAGGAUAGAUAACCCUUUCUUCUUCUUUACUUUCCAAAUAACCAUAGCUAGUUGAUGUUGUUUGGAAUUGUUAUGCUAUUUUAAAAUUGGUUUUUGAAAAGUCAAAGAACCAUCCUUACCAAAAAAAUUAUCCUUUUUAGCAUAUACAUAUAUUAUUCUUUAAUUGCCUUCAACAUCUAUCACAAUAUACACCUAAGGAAAACUAAGUUUCCACUUAGUUCUAAAUGUUUUAUUCUUUUUCCUCUUUUUAUUGGUUGUAGUAUUGGUUUCUUCUUCUGUUGUUGAAAGAUGUUCAUCCUCUAAUCUGAUUUUAAAUCUUUCACCAAAAAAGGAAUCAUAAAGCUCUUGCCUUGCAAUAUUUUGUUAAUUUAUAUUUCUUUUCUCCCUCUCAUAGGCAAUAGCAAAAAAUGCUUCAAUCCUAUGUUGUUGUUGUCACUAUCGCUGCUUUCCCAUUUGAAUUCAAUGAAGUUGACAUGGAUUAGGUCUAGGGCAGGUUGUUAAACACUAGGAUAUUUUUACAAUAUUCUUAAUAAUAGUUGAUAGAAUAUUAUCUGUACUGCAAUGUACGAAUUUUCUUUGCCCAGCAAGUGGCAACACUAAAAUAUUUCUAUACUUCAUUAGUGCAAGGUGAAAAUUGAACAUUUCUUUCAAGUCGCAACAUAAAUUAGAAAUCAGCCUUCAAAUGCAAAGUAAACAUGCCUUUGCAGGGCUUUGCAAGGUGCAAAAUUGAGGCCUACAUUGUCAUCCCUAAAUGUGAUUUGGGUGCCACAGUUCUAAAGAGACUGUCGCUAUAGGAGAGCUUAUGAGGAUGUUGAGAUAUUGCUGUAAGUUCCUUCAUGCACUUCACAGUGAUCGUAAAUGCUUCGUGAUGGCAUCUUAAACUUGUACCAUGGCAUCUGCAUUGCCAGUUCAAAGAUUAAAUAGCCCACAACCAAGAACAAAGUGAAGAAAAUGAGAAAAAAUCUAAGAAUGUUGCUGUCCCCUUAAGUUUCUCUGGCCAUAAAUUCGCUGCUACAAUAGCUUAUAUCCUUUCUACGCUUUAAGUUUCAGUGCCCGUAGCGGAUAGAUGUCGUUUGGACACUGUUGACCACAAUUGACUAUCGUUGACCAAUGGACCGUUAACUUUGGGGUUCGAUUCCUGCGCUGGGCGAUAUUGCCAGGGCUAGGGUUCUUCGAUGGGGCUCAAGCUGCGAGCAGUGCCGAUCACGGAGGUGAAUUUCCGGCCUUUUGGCCAGCUCCUGGGAAAGAUCGGCGACGGAUGCGAGUAUGGAUCGGGAGACGCGCAGCUCAAUCUCGCGAAUGGGAUUCCCAGGUAGUGCAGGCAAAAUGUGGCCGAAAUUUCCAGUGGCUCGAUAGUGAUUGAGUGAGUGAUGGUUCUUUUGCGCAGAUUCUACCUCAUGGAGCUCAAGAAAACGGGGCUGCGAUUCAAAAGGAUAACGCAUCACGCCAGGGUCACGCAGUGUCUGGGAUCAGUGGGAGCUCAUCCUUGGUACAUGGCGGUCUCUCUUCCCAGCAUUGUGGAUCCUUCAUCGCAACACGAGGGCGCUGUUCGAUCCAACGCUGGUGGCCACUCCUAUUUACCUCCCUCUCAUGCAAGCGUCCAGGUUUUCAAGAUAGAUGGUCCUCGCUUCAUCAAGCUAAACGAAGGAACUUGGCACGCUGGUCCUCUCUUUGGUGAUCGAGAUUCGAUGGUCUUCUACAGCUUGGAGCUCAGUGACACCAACGUAAGAUCAUUCGAUCGAGCUAUGUUUUCUCCCUUUUUAUGUUCUUUUUAUUUGCAGGUUGUGGAUCACACUACCCACGUGUUUGAGGACUGAUCGAAGAUUGAGGUACAGAGCCUUGGCAUUUCAUGUGAUAUUCGAACGUGAUUUUUGUGCUAGGUGAUGGCGAGCUUAAACACUUUUUUGCGUGUCUAGAAAAGCAAAUGGUGGAAAUGAAACAAGUUCUUUGCGAGCUAAGCAUUUCAUGUCCCUUGCCAUCAAGUUGUCGAGGAGCUCCUUUUGUGCCUCGGGACACUGACUAGUAGUUGAAGGAUGUACAAAAUGAGGCUGAUGAUCCUGACUCCCACAGACCAUGGCGUCAACUCCCUGGUAUAAAUCUUUCUUAAUUGAGGACUGUUGAGGACUUCUAGCACUUCCUCCUCUCCUGCUUCUCUCGACGUUUGUGCUCUGGGGAAGUGCCAGUCUUCGUGCUGCAAGCGAGCAAUGUUUCCAACAACACAGCGAAUUUCUAUAAAUUGCUGGAUAGAGAAACACGAGCUGAAUCAAAAGAACAAUCGACGAGCGACUGUAACAACUAACAUACUCACCAGCCAUAGGAUAGCCUGGUUUCUCUCCUUAGAGUCGAGCCAGUAAAAUUGUGCGUCUUUUAAACCAGGAUGGAGAUAAGUCCGCUGGUGUUACCGAUUCGCACGCAUAUCCUGUGGUCCACGGCUAGCCUGUUGGGGACUUCUAGCACUUCCUCCUCUCUUGCGGCUAAAAGAGCAGUGAGGGCCUCCAGGGAUAGCGGAAAAAAGUGGAAAGCUGCUGCAGCUCUGGAGCUGAAGGCUUGGGAGUGGAAGGCUGCUGCUCGACCUCCGGAUGUGGGGAAAAAGCCGACCACAACUCACUGGUAUAUGGGGUUCUAGUGCUUGAAGGUGGAGAAGUUGGAGAAGCGAGAGCAGAGCCGGAAGAAGGAACUUGAAUGGUUACCUCGGUACUCUUGGGGGCACCGGCAGACUGUGCCCCUUGAAACUUUCUGCUGUUCCACGAAUCCAUGUUUAGUGUUCAAGGAGUUCUGGGCAUUCUGGGCAUUCUGGUGACCGUGGUAUUGACGACUUCAAAGCCGCUUGAAUGUCUUUCUCAUGUUGCUGGCAUAAGCAAGAAAACUACUACUUUCGUUCUAUGAUAGCACGAGCCUUCCGAGCACUUCAAGCUACUCAUCACGAGCGAAUCUAUGAUAGCACGAGCCUUCUGAGCACUUCAAGCGGCUCGUCACGAGCGAAUCAAUAAAAAACGAGUGCUUUGUUUGACAGUGCUGCAAGAUGCGACAAAGACACUGCAAACAUCAAGCUUGAGCGGAGUAUAUAAGGGAAUAGGGACGUUCUAACUAGCUACGACGCAAACAUGGCUUGUCUAGAGGGAAUCUAGCAACCACGACAAAAAAUCUUAGAGAAUGUAGAGACAAGGAGUGGAAUG